AAGUCGUAACAAGGUAACCGUAGGUGAACCUGCGGUUGGAUCAUUAAUAAAAUUUAUUAAAGGUUAUUUUUUAAAAAGUUAUUUAUUUUUAAAGAAAUGUUUGUUUGAAAGAACCAUUUUCUUUAAAAUAAUACUUUUAAAUAACUCUUUAAACAAAUUUGUGAAUUUAUUAAAGUCUUUUGGGGUUAAUGAAAUUUUAUUUUUUUGUUAGCCCCAAUAAUUUUAUUUAAACAAAUAUGAUAUUAAAUCAAGUCUUUAAAAUUCUUUUUGAAUUAAAAUUUAUUAAUUUAAAAAAAACAACUUUUGACAACGGAUCUCUUGGCUCUC
RNAcentral lists this unclassified non-coding RNA (327 nucleotides) under fungal sp. RNAcentral's name for it is "partial internal transcribed spacer region". The stretch from base 1 to 46 matches the Rfam family "Eukaryotic small subunit ribosomal RNA", at positions 1786 to 1831 of the family's 1831-position model. The record is from RNAcentral. Lineage: Eukaryota; Fungi.